Molecule: ribosomal RNA, 399 nt
Filed under: uncultured bacterium
Lineage: Bacteria
Description: partial 16S ribosomal RNA
Rfam family: Bacterial small subunit ribosomal RNA
Source: RNAcentral
CCUACGGGUGGCAGCAGUGAGGAAUAUUGGUCAAUGGACGAGAGUCUGAACCAGCCAAGUAGCGUGAAGGAUGACUGCCCUAUGGGUUGUAAACUUCUUUUAUAUGGGAAUAAAAUGUUCCACGUGUGGGCUUUUGUAUGUACCAUAUGAAUAAGGAUCGGCUAACUCCGUGCCAGCAGCCGCGGUAAUACGGAGGAUCCGAGCGUUAUCCGGAUUUAUUGGGCUUAACGGGAGCGUAGGUGGAUUGUUAAGUCAGUUGUGAAAGUUUGCGGCUCAACCGUAAAAUUGCAGUUGAAACUGGCAGGCUAGAGUACAGUAGAGGUGGGCAGAAUUCGUGGUGUAGCGGUGAAAUGCGUAGAGAUCACGAGGAACACCGAUUGCGAAGGCAGCUCACUGGAC